CCUACGGGUGGCAGCAGUGGGGGAUAUUGGACAAUGGGGGAAACCCUGAUCCAGCGACGCCGCGUGAGUGAAGAAGUAUUUCGGUAUGUAAAGCUCUAUCAGCAGGGAAGAAAGAAAUGACGGUACCUGAGUAAGAAGCACCGGCUAACUACGUGCCAGCAGCCGCGGUAAUACGUAGGGGGCAAGCGGUAUCCGGAAUUACUGGGGGUAAAGGGGGCGUAGACGGGAAUGACAGGCUGGAGGGAAAGGCGGGGGCCACCCCCCCGGACUGCUCUGGAAACUGUGUAACUGGAGUGCAGGAGAGGCAGGCGGAAUUCCUAGUGUAGCGGUGAAAUGCGUAGAUAUUAGGAGGAACACCAGUGGCGAAGGCGGCCUGCUGGACUGUAACUGACGUUGAGGCUCGAAAGCGUGGGGAGCAAACAGGAUUAGAUACCCUUGUAGUC
RNAcentral lists this ribosomal RNA (443 nucleotides) under uncultured bacterium. RNAcentral's name for it is "partial 16S ribosomal RNA". It matches the Rfam family "Bacterial small subunit ribosomal RNA", at positions 338 to 795 of the family's 1533-position model. The record is from RNAcentral.